RNA transcript from Artibeus jamaicensis (Jamaican fruit-eating bat), 4223 nucleotides. It is a transcript of the gene named casein kinase 1 alpha 1, with no coding region annotated. Lineage: Eukaryota; Metazoa; Chordata; Mammalia; Chiroptera; Phyllostomidae. The record is from RefSeq and is a predicted model, not a curated record. The transcript is spliced from 12 exons.
CAUUCGCCGGUUGUGUUCCGCCCUCCUCGCAGCCGACCCUCCGGGGCUAGCGCCUGAGAUCCCUUUCCCAGAGUGCUCUGCGCCGUGAAGAAGCGACUCCCGGAGACUAGGGGCAUUUUGCGUUGGCUGGAGCUGGAGUAACAAGAUGGCGGCGUCGGCGGAGUGAUAGGGGUCCCUCUGGGCGGGAGCCGGCGGCAGUGGUACCAAGGGUAUCACCGCCCUAAGUCACUGCGCCCCUUUUCCAGCUCGCAACGUCGCCGCGAAAGCGUGGCACCGGCGGCGGCCCAGAAACAAGUGGCCCAGCCUGGGAACCGCGAGACCUCCUCACAAACUGCGUCCUGACCAAAAAAAGAAAAUCCGACCGAGCGGCGGUGAUCAGACUCCCCUUGGCGGAUUCUGGGGCCCUGUGACGCCAAAAGCCAACAUUUUCCGUUUCCCCCCGCCCUCCUCCGCAGCCUUGCUCAGGGGACGAGCGCAGAGGCCUCUGUCCUCUUCUAAGAGGUGUCGGGGCUUGGCCCCAGCCUCUGUCUUCGUCUCUCAGGAUGGCGAGCAGCAGCGGCUCCAAGGCCGAAUUCAUUGUCGGAGGAAAAUAUAAACUGGUACGGAAGAUCGGGUCUGGCUCCUUCGGGGACAUCUAUCUGGCGAUCAACAUCACCAAUGGCGAGGAAGUGGCAGUGAAGCUAGAGUCCCAGAAGGCCAGGCAUCCCCAGCUGCUGUACGAGAGCAAACUCUAUAAGAUCCUUCAGGGUGGGGUCGGCAUCCCCCACAUACGGUGGUAUGGCCAGGAAAAAGACUACAAUGUUCUAGUCAUGGAUCUUCUUGGACCCAGCCUCGAAGACCUCUUCAAUUUCUGUUCCAGAAGGUUCACAAUGAAAACAGUACUUAUGUUAGCUGACCAGAUGAUCAGUAGAAUUGAAUAUGUGCAUACAAAGAAUUUUAUACACAGAGACAUUAAACCAGAUAACUUCCUAAUGGGUAUUGGGCGUCACUGUAAUAAGUGUUUAGAAUCUCCAGUGGGGAAGAGGAAAAGAAGCAUGACUGUUAGUACUUCUCAGGACCCAUCUUUCUCAGGAUUAAACCAGUUAUUCCUUAUUGAUUUUGGUUUGGCCAAAAAGUACAGAGACAACAGGACAAGGCAACAUAUACCAUACAGAGAAGAUAAAAAUCUCACCGGCACUGCCCGGUAUGCUAGCAUCAAUGCACAUCUUGGUAUUGAACAGAGUCGCCGAGAUGACAUGGAAUCAUUAGGAUAUGUUUUGAUGUAUUUUAAUAGAACCAGCCUGCCAUGGCAAGGACUAAAGGCUGCAACAAAGAAACAAAAAUAUGAAAAGAUUAGUGAAAAGAAGAUGUCCACUCCUGUUGAAGUUUUAUGUAAGGGGUUUCCUGCAGAAUUUGCCAUGUACUUAAACUAUUGUCGGGGGCUGCGCUUUGAGGAAGCCCCGGAUUACAUGUAUCUGAGGCAGCUAUUCCGCAUUCUUUUCAGGACCCUGAACCACCAGUAUGACUACACGUUUGACUGGACAAUGUUAAAGCAGAAAGCAGCGCAACAGGCAGCCUCUUCGAGUGGGCAGGGUCAGCAGGCCCAAACCCCCACAGGCAAGCAAACUGACAAAACCAAGAGUAACAUGAAAGGAACGUGGCUGGUCCCUUAGCAACGUAACUCAAAUCACAGGGGAAGACCUUGAAAUAUCUGGAGCGACUGAUCUGCUCUGAAUACACUCAGUGUCAGAGAAGCACCAGGGAGCUGCAUCUGCUUGCUGAAAUUUUUGUCAGCUUUUUUUCACUAUGGACAAUAAAGCUGGAGAGAAGAACUAAAUUACCCAACAGGAAAUGAAGAUGAGUGUGCAAGAGUUGAUCUGUGGUGAUCUGAAGCCCACAUCUUCAAGGCUUGCUUGACCUGUCAGACUUGGCACCUUGUCAGAUUUCCUGGAUGGUACAGCAGUCCAGAAGACCCAGAAGAGUACAGUGUGGCUGUGGCUCAGUGGUGUAUAAUGCAGACCGUCUACUGGUUGGGGAAGGAAUCAGUUGUUACAGGAACAAAGGAAUCCACUUCUUAUUUUAGCUGUUGUUGCAGUGAAGAUGGGUUUUUGGACUUGUAGAAGCCGGGAGACACCACCUAAAGUACAAGAUAAAAACCAAGCUCUAAUGCACACCGGGGAAAAGAACACUUAAUUUGAAGAUUGAAUGUCAGAAACCUCCUGGAUGCUCCUAUUGAGAUUUUUUUUUUUUCUCAAGAAACCUCAGUAACAUCCUAGGACAAUUCCCUGGAGAUACAUCGAUUUCCUAGGCGGAGUGUCCUGCCUACCACUGGCUAAUCUGAUCUGGAUUUGACUGCUGUUCUACCCGGAAUAUUGUUAGGCUAACCUUUAACUAGUCUGUAAACAAUUGUAAUCAUUAGUUGACCUAGGAAUUCUUUAAAUCUGAUUAAAAGAUGCACAGAUAAAAUUCUUACCUAGAUAAUUUUUAUCCCUGUUAAAGACACACAAGAGUUUCUUAAUAUUUUGACUCCAGUGUAAUUUGUAUUUCCUUUUUAGUUUAUUAGUGAUGAUGGUUUCCAUUUAAAGCUCUUUGGAUAUUCAACAUAGUAAUUAUUCUAUAUAAUUGUGUAAGCUGUGAUAAUAGAAAAAAACCAACAAAUUUAGUAGUAGUUGGGAAAACUUUUUAUUUGUAUUUAAGAAUAAUUGCAGUACUUGAAAACAAGUGCUUAUCAGGGUAAAGUUCAUUUCUAUUUAGCUAAAGUUGGAAUUAGAUUACAGAAUAUAGUCAGAUUUUUAAAAAUCAGGUGUGAUUUAAAAGUUCUUUUUAUGGCUUCCCUUGCUAGUACUAUUUAGUAAUGCAUAUCAAUACAUAUCAAUACGAUAAUAUUCCUUGUGGUGAAGUACAUUUUCAGAAAGUUUCCUUCUUUUAUUUUUGGCUUUUUGCUUUAUCACCUAUGGCAACAUAGGUAUAUUCUGUACCUAAUCUUAAAUUUGGUAUUAUCUUUGGAAAAAGGGCAUAUGAUAUAGACAGGAACAUAAAUUAUAGAAGCAUUUUAUUUAUCCCACAAAGCUCAUUGGAGAUGGUCCACAAACGUUUGAGAAGUACCAAAAAAGAGGUAGUUUAUUAUUGAGAAAAACAUGGUUUGUUCUAAGCAAGUGAGAGAUCAGAGUGGGCUAGAAUAAACUAUUAAUAGAGGGGCUAUAAGAGUUCAGAAGGGGGUGGGCCAAGGGGCAUCAAUGCCUUGAAGGAGAGGAGAGGGCAUUGAUGGUUUUUAUGUUACUCCUGAGACAGGUCUGUGUCCUCUCUCUUUAGCCAUAGGGUAAAUUCACCUGAAUUCUUUAUUCAGCCGAGCCCUAACAUGAAGCCCUACCAGGGCUGUCCAUCCUGUGGCCCUUGAGCUGCAUGCACCCAAGAUGGCUAUUAAUACGGCCCAACACAAAAUUGUAAAUUCACCUAAAACAUUACGAGAUUUUUUGUGUGGUUAUGUGUCAUGCUGUAUUUAAUGUGUGGCUCCAGACAACUCUUCUUCCAGUGUGGGCCAGAGAUGCCAAAAGGAUGGACACCCCUGCUAGAGUCUUAAUUAUGGCUGAGGAGAGAGUGUUUGCAGGGUGGGAGGGCUUGAGAAGUAAAUAAAGCUAAAAAAAAUAACUCUUUACAUUUUCCAAUCCAUGGAAAUGGAAACCUAACCUUUUUAACGUAAGCUGGUGGAAGUAAAGAAUUUUUGAAGUCAUGAGGUCUUCUGUGUAAAAAGUCAUAAUUUUGUGUUCGGUGGAAUAACUCAGAUAAUUAAUGCCUUGAAUACACUUACUAGAAUUUAUUGUUCCUUUAUUUGUAUCAGAAAUAGUGUGCAAAAAAGUCCCAGACUCAGAGUAUGAUUGAACUAAACCUCCCACUUGCUGGAGCAAUCUGUUGUUCAUCAGUUUGACAGAUAGUCGAACACAGUAUGUUCUAGGCACUGAAGAUACCGAAGUAAACAAAACAGGCAUGUGAUCACCACUGCUGGUCUAGCUUGGGCAUCGUAUGCUGACUGGAGUUCACUGUAUACCCUUCCUACCUAGACGUCUCCAGAACAGAAAGUGUCUUGUUUUUCUGUUUUAAAAAAUUGAGCUAGUGAUUUUCAAAUAGAUGAAAAUCGCCUGAGUCACACACAAUUAUUAGCCUACUUUACCCAAAAUUUUUUUUUGGGGGGGUGUCAUUUUAAACUUUUUUUAAGUUGGCAUUUUAACCAUUUUUUCCUGUUUUCU